UACGAAGGGGGCUAGCGUUGCUCGGAAUCACUGGGCGUAAAGGGUGCGUAGGCGGGUCUUUAAGUCAGGGGUGAAAUCCUGGAGCUCAACUCCAGAACUGCCUUUGAUACUGAGGAUCUUGAGUUCGGGAGAGGUGAGUGGAGCUGCGAGUGUAGAGGUGAAAUUCGUAGAUAUUCGCAAGAACACCAGUGGCGAAGGCGGCUCACUGGCCCGAUACUGACGCUGAGGCACGAAAGCCAGGGGAGCAAACGGG
RNAcentral lists this ribosomal RNA (253 nucleotides) under uncultured bacterium. Its description in RNAcentral is "partial 16S ribosomal RNA". It matches the Rfam family "Bacterial small subunit ribosomal RNA", at positions 524 to 776 of the family's 1533-position model. The record is from RNAcentral.